GCGGACGUGGCUCAGUUGGUAGAGCAUCACCUUGCCAAGGUGAGGGUCGCGGGUUCGAAUCCCGUCGUCCGCUC
Molecule: transfer RNA, 74 nt
Filed under: Propionibacterium freudenreichii
Lineage: Bacteria; Bacillati; Actinomycetota; Actinomycetes; Propionibacteriales; Propionibacteriaceae
Also listed under: 70 other names
Description: tRNA-Gly(gcc)
Rfam family: tRNA
About the family: Transfer RNA (tRNA) molecules are approximately 80 nucleotides in length.
Source: RNAcentral